RNAcentral lists this long non-coding RNA (355 nucleotides) under Olea europaea (common olive). RNAcentral describes it as "long non-coding RNA (OEUR_LNC007274)". The record is from RNAcentral. Lineage: Eukaryota; Viridiplantae; Streptophyta; Magnoliopsida; Lamiales; Oleaceae.
UCUCUCGUUUGUCUUCUCUCUCUAUCUUUAACUAAAUUAUAGUUAGCUAAUGGAUUUUCUUCCUCAGGAUGCUCUUCUAUUACUACUUCAUUUUCCUCUUCAGGUUCUUGGACCUGAAUCUCCACCUCACUCGAAGUACUAGGUACUGAUGUGUUAAAUUUUCCUAACUCCACCUUAAACCGAUUUCUUUCUUCACUUGAUUCAGUUUCACUUACAGGUUCGGUUUCGUUCUUUAGACAAGGCAUCUCACUCUCAUUAAAUGUGACAUCCCUACUCACGAUGAUCUUAACUCUUUUUUGGCUUCUAUCCUAUAGCCUAUAGCCUUUAACCCCUUCGGGAUAUCCUAGAAAGACAC